This 500-nucleotide ribosomal RNA is filed under the name uncultured bacterium. RNAcentral describes it as "partial 16S ribosomal RNA". It matches the Rfam family "Bacterial small subunit ribosomal RNA", at positions 30 to 523 of the family's 1533-position model. The record is from RNAcentral.
AUUGAACGCUGGCGGAAUGCUUUACACAUGCAAGUCGAACGGCAGCACGGACUUCGGUCUGGUGGCGAGUGGCGAACGGGUGAGUAACAUAUCGGAACGUAUCCAAUAAUGGGGGAUAACGAGUCGAAAGAUUCGCUAAUACCGCAUACGCCCUACGGGGGAAAGCUGGGGACCUUCGGGCCUGGCGUUAAUGGAGCGGCCGAUAUCUGAUUAGCUAGUUGGGGAGGUAAAGGCUCACCAAGGAGACGAUCAGUAGCUGGUCUGAGAGGACGACCAGCCACACUGGAACUGAGACACGGUCCAGACUCCUACGGGAGGCAGCAGUGGGGAAUUUUGGACAAUGGGCGCAAGCCUGAUCCAGCCAUUCCGCGUGAGUGAAGAAGGCCUUCGGGCUGUAAAGCUCUUUCGCAAGGGAAGAAAACUUAGCCACUAACAUUGGUUGAGGUUGACGGUACCUUGAUAAGAAGCACCGGCUAACUACGUGCCAGCCGCCGCGGUAA